AGUGCCCGCCCGCUGGGUCAUCGGUGCUGCUGUUUGUUCGGGCUCAGUGUUUUAAGUGUCACAGGCUCAAGUGUUAGCAAAAAACCUGGAAAGUGGUAACUGGGAAGGACCAUUUCCUUUAAUAACCGGGGGAAGAGACGAUGCUGGUGUCUCCACAGGUCACAGUCCCUGGUGGUUACCGGCAGGGUGUCUGCAGCCAUACCUGAAUCUUGAGAGGCAGCUUUUGGUGGACACUCAGGAGCCGGCUGUGGGUGCUGUGGGUGCCCCUGUGCCGACAGUUUGCGG
Long non-coding RNA from Athene cunicularia (burrowing owl), 285 nucleotides. RefSeq lists it as uncharacterized. The record is from RefSeq and is a predicted model, not a curated record. NCBI's taxonomy places the organism in Eukaryota, Metazoa, Chordata, Aves, Strigiformes, Strigidae. The transcript has 2 exons.